UAGGGAAUCUUCGGCAAUGGGGGGAACCCUGACCGAGCAACGCCGCGUGAGUGAAGAAGGUUUUCGGAUCGUAAAGCUCUGUUGUUAAGGAAGAACGAGUGUGAGAAUGGAAAGUUCAUACUGUGACGGUACUUAACCAGAAAGGGACGGCUAACUACGUGCCAGCAGCCGCGGUAAUACGUAGGUCCCGAGCGUUGUCCGGAUUUAUUGGGCGUAACGCGAGCGCAGGCGGUUAGAUAAGUCUGAAGUUAAAGGCAGUGGCUCAACCAUUGUAGGCUUUGGAAACUGUUUAACUUGAGUGCAGAAGGGGAGAGUGGAAUUCCAGGUGUAGCGGUGAAAUGCGUAGAUAUAUGGAGGAACACCGGUGGCGAAAGCGGCUCUCUGGUCUGUAACUGACGCUGAGGCUCGAAAGCGUGGGGAGCGAACAGG
This 429-nucleotide ribosomal RNA is filed under the name Bacteroidota bacterium. Its description in RNAcentral is "Bacteroidetes bacterium partial 16S ribosomal RNA". It matches the Rfam family "Bacterial small subunit ribosomal RNA", at positions 355 to 776 of the family's 1533-position model. Lineage: Bacteria; Pseudomonadati; Bacteroidota. The record is from RNAcentral.